CGUACGUGAGCUUCUGUCGUCGUAAUCUUUGUGCGUGCAGAGCCAAGCGGGAUGCUGGGACGGAGUUAGCAUGGCAUGGCGUGGGCUGGUGUACAUAACCUUAAUUUGUUUUCGUACUUGUGUCAAUCGGCUCUGGCGCGAGCAGCAAUAAGUGAACAGGUGUAUUGGCAUGCUAUGCGACCUAUCUGCCUGUGAGGUAAGGGCCAGCGGGUGCUUUGCAAGCGCGUGUUUUGUCUUGGUAGCAUAGAUCGACACGUGUGUGUGUGUGUGUAUUGGGCGCCGCCGCGCCGUGUACUCGACGUGCAGCCAGCGUUGCCCAGGACUGACUUGCAGCGUAGUUCCACAAUGAGCAGGAGCAGUGGCAGGCCGUUUGUAAGGGCCUUGCUGUGGGGAUGUCAUCUAUUCCUUAGGACAGAAAUGAUCCCGUGAGUAAUCUCGUAUGUGGUCUGUAUCCACUGCGCCGGCAUUCUGCGCGUGUCGCCCUGUACCUGAUGGAGGUGUCAUGGGUACCAGAGAACCCAACCCCAUAAAGAACACAACCGUGAUGAACUGUUGGUUGCCGCGAACUGGAGCUGUAUCAUAACUAGGCGAGUGAGCUGCGGCAAAGUUCAGAUGCGAAUUAGAGACAGUAAGAGCUGGAGGUGUCACUUUGUGGUGGCAUGACGCGGCCGCUGAAUGGGGAGCAUUUGGAAAGCCGUGCGAUCGACGAUGCUUCUGUGCGAUGGAUUGCGCACAGUCUGGAGAUGUUGCGUCCAGAAUCUACAAGCGCGCCUGAUGGACUGGAUGGCGUGAGCAUGAAAGGUGGAGCGGCACACUCCCACAACAGGUGCCACUGUAAUAACACACCUGACACUUGAGUCAUUCGCACCUCUGGUUGUGGCUUAUGCUUCCUUAGUGGCUUCCACAUGCCGGCCCCAAGGACGGCCCCAGCCGCUGCCACGACACAUCACACGUGGACAGGCAAUGCGCACGUAUGCCUCGCAACCAGGUCCACAUGGCAGCUAGAGGGAUGACACGGGCUGUUUCGGCUGCUGUCAGCGAGCUCCGGUCGCUGACAAGCGGAAGGCUCAGCUGAUGAGAGCCUAGGCUCAGUGAAGGGGUCUGCGGGCUUAGCGCGCUGAGUCGCCCGCCCAGCCGGAUAGCCGAUGAACCCGGCAACUCAGCGCGCUGAGCGGUUUGCUCAUCAAGGUUAGCUAUGCAGGGAUUCCGCUAAAAAAUGCAGCCCUACCCGCCGUACAGGAGUCGCGCCGGAAGUUGGGCAGCUGAGCGAGCGGGAGCUGGCAGCUGUAAGAACAGCCAGCAGUACGAGCUACUUCAGACCCUACCAAUUGACGGUUUCAGGCAGCUCCCCCUGACGCUUCACUUGCAAGCCCGCGACAGUAUGGCUAGCAGCAGGGUCAGCCGCACAAACCCCACCAGCACAACGACACCGGUGGGAGAGAGUGAUGGCUUGCCACCUGCCCAACCAUCAACUGCAGGCAUUCUUGCCGCCGAGCUGCUUGCCGUCAACAUGAGCUGCUCCGGACCCCACCAUUUAGGUCCAGAGCACUUGAUCGGCUAUGACAAACUUUGCUUUCCAUACAAGCCGGGCCGGAAUUAUAUUAUUAGCCCCCUCGGUCACCUGGUGGUGGUGGUGGUGGUGGUGGUGGUGGUGGUGGUGGUGGUGGUGGUGGUGGUGGUGGUGGUGGUGGUGGUGGUGGUGGUGGUGGUGGUGGUGGUGGUGGUGGUGGUGGUGGUGGUGGUGGUGGUGGUGGUGGUGGUGGUGGUGGUGGUGGUGGUGGUGGUGGUGGUGGUGGUGGUGGUGGUGGUGGUGGUGGUGGUGGUGGUGGUGGUGGUCACUGAAUAGCAACCAAGGGUAGUGGCUAAGGCGACUGGCGACUAGGGCUGACAAGCCCCUGGAUGGUGCUAGGCGAGCGCACUCACGCGCCCACCCCGAGACACGCCCGACACAGGCACGCCCGACACAGCAGGGGCGAAGGCCCCAGUCCUGGUCAAGGCAACAGAGAAACCCGGGCUCACACGCCAACCACGCACCAUCAGGGACACACGAGGCGCACGCGUCCUUUAAACACACAGAGCAAACCAGCAGAGCCUCAGGGAGGCAGGCACACGCUCUCACAACUCACACCACACAAACGCAUAACGGCAAACACCCCCGCCACAACCGAAGCACACACAGGGCCGCUCCAACAUACCGCACCCCUAAGCCACGCACAGCACAGAAAAGCAAGGCACCUAAAGGGCGCAUAAAGCAGGCUAACCAACCCCCCCUACAAAGGGCCAGCAGGGGCCAUUCUCUGGCGGAAACCGCACCCUGCAUCGCUGGCCCUGGCGAAUGAAGCCCCCAACCCACAAACACACACCAAAGCAGGAAACAAAGCGCAACACCCCCUUUGCGAACCCCUGCUGGCUGGUCGUCCGCACAUCCACGCUCACCGAGUACAGGGACAUACAUUUGUCAGCGUUGUACAGCCCGUGAAACCACUCGAUCACCGAGCGUGCGGGGAGCCCCGUGCGGGCAUCAGGGGACUUGAUUUGGGGAACCCUUCUGCCGGUUCCGUGGGCCAGUGCGCCACGAGGUGGGGGCACUGCCGCAGCGGCUGGUAGUACUGCUGCGGUGUAUUCGCUUGCCCUGACGCCCCCAUACAUGCCCCUCGUCUCCCCUUGCCUUGCCGCACACGCAGUACUUGUACGCCUGCUUCUGCACCUCUUCGCUGUUCCACAAAAGUCUCAGGAGGCAUCUGAGAAUCUUGUGAACAAGUCGGCACCAGCGCCAGCGCCGAGCUCAUCAUCGCCUCAUUCUGCGACAACACGGGCGCGGGGCGGGCUACUCGUGUCAAGUGUUGCGUCUGCAAGCCUUUGAGCGUGAAGCGGUGUACGUGGGUUUCACUUGUGCAGGUGUACAUGUUGCAGGGUAGGGCAGGGUGUUGUGCGUGGGAACAUGGGGAGGCAACGGUCAUGCCGACCACGCGGAGUUGAACCUUUGUGGCGGGAAGCAGUAGGAAAGUUUCUAUAUGUUAAAGUUCUUUAUAUCAACAGCACUGCUUCUUUACUUGCUAGCAUCACCCAUGAUAUCUUGAGCUGCGUGGCUUCGUCGUCUGCGCUUUCCAUGGCCGACACCAAGUUUAUCAGCAGCCUGGCAAUUGAAUUUAACCUGGACAUAGCAUGGGAGCUAAGGGCUGUCACAGCAUUCGCCAAGGCGGUGCCUGAACUUCGCACGCACAUUCGCGGUCACGCGCACAAGAGUAAGCAGGUGGACUUUCUAAAUGAGCCCAUGCAAGGUAAGCGCAUCUGGUUUUCUGCGCCGGGGCGGUGAAAGCGGGUUGUCGUGGUCAGCAUGAAGGAGGUGGCUGCGGCUUUCAACGCUGCGGAGGCGCUUGGCGUGCGCGGGAAGGUGCCACGUUUCGGGGUCUUGAUUACCCCUGUCGGUGUAGCGGGACUCCGCACCUAUGUGUAUACCCGACCCCUGCAGAGACGAAGCUGUACAAUAACGUCACCGUGUUCGUGCCGGGUUACGAAACACCCUACGCAAAGCUGGACUAUCAGUACCUCACCAGAAACCCAUUCGUCAAGCAGAUGGAGCGCGAGCGCUACUUCCGCGUGGUGACGGUGGCCGAGCAACCGUCCCAGCCCUGGCGCUGGAGUAGUGCGCCGCCAACUCUGUGGACAUUAGCGAAGUGCGGCUGCAGGACGAUGUGAAGCUGGCCGUGGUGGUUGGCGCGGAGCAUGCGCGCCACAAGGUUCAGCAGCAGGUUAGUUGAUUGGUUCACUUUGCACUGCACACGCUCUCGACGGGCACCUGUCUGUUUAUUGAGCGUGGACCGCUUUGUGCCAGCAUGCCUGACCGCAGCACGCUGGUGUCCUGUCCGACCUGACUGCUUCAGGUGGAGGUGAUGCUGGGCUGGAAGGAGGGCCGAAUCAGCAAAGACGAAUACAAGGCUGCAGAGUGGGCCACGGUGCACAUCGCCGGCGAUAAGGGUGAGGGUCCUGCAUCUCAGCAUACGGGGUCGGCAUUCUGCUCCUCAAUUGGUGUCGUUAAGCGAGCGAGGUUUACACAAUGGACUUGUUGGGGUUUACAACAGCAUCCCCCGGGCUGCUGCUAGCUGGGAGGAGGGCGCCCAGGGCUCAAACUAAUGUGGCCACAUGUCCAUGCUGGACUCAUUGCUUCACUCGUACUCGUUCACUUUGAAGCAUGCAUGCGGCUUAUUUACUUUUGCAGCAAGUAAUUUAGGCAACUAUGCGCACGUGAGGGAGUUGAACCAUCACGACCAUGCCCUUGCAUAACGUUUCGCACGCCCAGGUUCGCCCAUCAGUCAGCUGACCAAACACCGGGCAUCUUGCAACGGUGGAGCGCCAGUGGGUUCACCUGCCUAGUUGCUGGGCUGACCGGAUGGAAGCGUGACAUCAACAUGCCGGCUUUGCAAUGCCGGCAUGUUCCACCUCUUGCGCGAUGCCGCCAGCAGGCGCCAGCCGGUGGUGCUUCAAGAAGAUCAGUGGCCUCGUUGACGCUGACAAGCUGAAGAUCGAGAUCGACGGCAUGGCCUUCUCCCUGGAGCGGGUGGUGCUGGUGGAGCGCAAGCCGCGCAUCAAGCUGAUGUACGGUACGUGCAGGAGCUGGCGGUCAAGAUGUGGAAGCUCGUGUAAGCCCGUGGGAGGCUCGGCUUGUGUGUGCACGCCUUGGCUAAAGGGCCAGUGCUUUACAGGAGCGGCGCAAGGGCUACACGGCCCUCGUGAUCCUAGCCUCCCACGGGCUUACACGAGCUUCAACAUCUUGACCGCCAGCUCCUGCACGUACAUCAGCUUGAUGCGCGGCUUGCGCUCCACCAGACCACCCGCUCCAGGGAGAAGGCCAUGCCGUCGAUCUCGAUCUUCAGCUUGUCAGCGUCAACGCCUUGGCUAAAGGGCCAGUGCUUUACAGGAGCGGCGCAAGGGCUACACGGCCCUCGUGAUCGUUGCGGAAAACCUGUGAAGUAUGGUUGCUUGCGUAGGACAUGUGCGCUACUAGGCAGGCAUAAGCGCAUACGCACACAGCAGCAGCAGCCACGCGACUACAGGCCUUAUUAUUGCUGCGCUUUGCAUCCAGAGGCGGUGGCAGCGUUCAGUCAACAGUGGCCUCAAGCCACCAGCCCACCACGCACUGUGCCGCCAGCGCGCACCCAUCUGACCACGCACCUGACCACUGCUGAGCACUCGCGCCACCAGGACCACAAUGUGUGUGUCCAUACGAUCCGCGCAGGAAGCUCGUGGCGGCCGGCGCGCCCAACACUGACAUGCUGCGGGACCGCUUCAGGCCGGAGAUCAAGCCCCUGGAGGUCUUCCUCAUGGCGGACGGCUGGGUGGACGACCCUGGCGAGGCGGCGGCGUGCGCAGUCCGCAUGGAGGAGGAGGGCAUUGCGCCGUUGCUGCCCACUGGCGACGGCGGCUACGAUGCACGCGACAGCUGCGGCCGGUGGCCAGUCGACGACGGCACACGGCGGCGCGGACAGGUGCGGUGUGCGUGCCAUCGCGCUCGAAUGGGCCCGUCAUCCCUAUGGCGUCAUCCAUGGGCUUUUGCUGCGCGUUGAUGAGCUGCUGGGGGUAGAUUGUACCGCAGCGUGUGCGUGCGUGCGUGCCAAGCCCAUGCGCCCGGACCGCCGUUGGCAUACAAUUGCUGAACACGUCCUGAAACACAUCGGCACGCCUCGCCCACCCCGGACACAGACCUUUCUCGCCAACAACAAGCCGGGACGCCUGCGGCCAAAGAGGUCCGGCAGCAGCGCCGCAACGGAUGCCAGCGGGAGCAGCGGGGUCGGCGGGGCGGCGGGGCCCAACAGCGCGGUGGGCAUCGGCCGCCACGCCAGCAGCAGGCAGCAGGCGGCCUGCAGCCCGGCGCACCCGGCGCACCACCUGCGCACGCACGACCCCUUCAGUGCCACCAGUGGCGCCUGGCUGCAGCGCCGCGUCGCGCUAGUCUGCCGCCCCCUGCACCCGCCCCCCCCCUGCACCCGCCGCCCCCUGCACCCGCCGCCCCCUGCACCCGCCGCCCCCUGCACCCGCCGCCCCCUGCACCCGCCGCCCAUGCACCCGCCGUGCCACCACCACUACAGCAUGCCCAGCGGACGCCGGCUGUAGCUGCAGCGCGCUGGGCUGGGCAGCAGCUGGCGAGGUGGAGCGCCGAAGGGGGAUGCGUGCCGGGGCCCGGGCCGGGCUGAGAGCUGGGCGGGUUCGGGGCGGCAGCAGCUAGGCGAGGGCUCUGGUUCCGCGGCUACUGCGGUGUACCAUUCUUUGCCCGUGUUGUAGUUGGCGGCACUCGUGCGGCUAUGCGUUUGGCGCCUGACCGAGAGUGUAUGGCUGUGUGCACAUUAUUUGACAUGGUCAGGUUGCGACAUGUCGACAUGUGAAAUGCGACAUACAACAUUGCGACAUACCAAGACUCGCCCACAUUUGCAUAGCUACGCGUCCUGGAGCCCAUUUAAGUAACAUCUCCCAGCUUUGCGGCGGUGUAUUGCGCUAGCGUAGCCACAAGCUGCUCCCACUGGCCGCACCCUACGCCACGCCACCACCACCGUGGCAACCGAGACACGUUUUGUUGUGUGCCACGGCGUUCCACGCUUACCAGAGGCAUAUUGAAUGCAUGCACAAUAUGUUUGGCGGGUUUGGAUGCGUUUGGGCGAUAUGUGCAUUAUGUCGCAAUGUCGUAUGUCGCAAUUCACACAUCCACAUGUCGCAACCUGACCAUGUCAAAUAACUUGCAAGCUGCUAUAUGUAGCCUGUGCGUGCCGGUGCAUACCGACCAAGUGAGAGUGUUGCGUUUGCGUGUAUGCGUUUUUGUCUCACCGCAGUCAUGAACUGCCCAACCCUUUCCAAGAAUGUAUGUUCUAAUGCCAAGGCGUUGUUAUGCGCCAACUUCUAUGCUUGCUUGAGGCCGGGUGCGUUCCUGGAACAAGCUGUUUGAGAGCUUCAACAAUUGCGCACUGGCAGCAGGUCUUAGACCAGCGUACAGUAGAAUCACGAGUGGGUGACGGGCUGAUGCCGGAUGAUGCUCAAGGCUUGCACAGUGGGGUAGGUGCACAUUUUUGAAACACUAAUGACAAUGAUUGCACACAAAACGCUUGCUGCAUGUUGUCAAAUGGAAAUUCAAUCAUGGAGCAACGGGGCUUGGGUGAGGUGGGACUGGUGGAAGGGUGUGCGUGUUCUUUGAUCAAAUCGUUUCCUCUUUCUGCAGCGGCUGGGGGUGUGCCGGGGUUUGGGGUUUCCGAGCAUGGGCGUUAGGCAUACCUGGGUUGGUGCCGUGCGUACCGUACGUAUGGAGGCAGCCCCGCAUACCGUGCGUAAUGCUUUCCAGCUCACGUCUAACUGAUGUGUUAUCUCAAACUGGGUGCGGACUAUCUACGACCCGCCUGGGUCAGUAGUCCUGGCGCCGGCCCGCCCGGCGCAACACGGUGUAGAGAGCGUGUGUGCAUGGUGACAGGAUGGGCAAGCAAGGUGGCGUGGAGGUCGUUCGUGACAGGCGCUUUAUUUUGACAGGGCAACGGCACACGGGGAACACGCGCGGUUAUGGGUAACCCCCCAACUUUGAGGCCCCAGCAAAGUGUGCUUGGUGAUUCGUAGCACGCUAAAAUUUUGGCUACCCCCCGUGCCGUUUGCAAUCUUCCGGCCGUGCAAUCCAGAUUGCCCCAGUCAUGUAGCGGUUUUUGCAACGACGGGGUGCAGAGGGAAGGGGAGGGGAGGGGGCAAGUCUUAAGCAUCCAGUGCAAACUGCCGGGCAUACAUUUUUUAACCACUUAUAUUUUUGGCGCGUUGGUUUGGUGUUUGACAUUGCGGCUUGAAAGGCAGCACUGCGGUGUAGGCGGGUACGUGUGCACCCAACUGCCGGCCGGUGGAGCCACCUGAAACACCUUGCGCGCCACGCGACAGGCUGCAUUGUGACGUUUUCUUGGUGCAGUGGAUGGGAACAAGCAGUAUUUGGUAAAGCCUAUUGAUAGCAAUGGCGCGCAGGCUGAGCGAGGAGCUGUCCGGUGUCUGGGUAGCGCUCCGCAUUGGGGCGAGCAAGGCGUGUGUGCCAAGCGGCAGCAGCGGCAUGACACGUAGUGUGGCAGCGACGCAUGUGCUGAGUCGUCCUGGCUGGCUCUGCUGUGGUGGCUUGACCACUGCUGGGCACCUGCUGGGUUCGGCUACGUGCCUGUUCAGACCGAUUCCGCUGUCAGGACCUGCCAGCCACUGUAACAUGCUGAGUAGCUUUCUGCCUUCCGCCUGAGACGUGAACUCAUGACUAGUUGUUAGCAGCCUGCACGGCAGCCACACGCCACCAGAGCUUUCAUCAGGCUGAGAGGCAGCGCAACCUGCACGCGCUAGGUCGCGACCCCGGCUAUGUCCGGGCGAUGAGGUAGUUCGGCCUCAGACUUGCGGAGAGGCUCAGCCCCUUUUCCCUCGGGAACUCGAUGCGACCGCAAAGGCUCUUGCCCGUCCCCCUUCGGGGCAAGGGGCAAACCAACCUGUCGUGUCAUCAAGAGAGUCCAGCUAUCGAGGAUGCAGGAAAGUCCUAGCACCAGGUGAGACCCAACCCAAAGCGCCCCAGAACCCAAACCCACCCGAUCCACCCACAAAGCCCCCACCCGAGCACACAAACCCAGCCCUUACGGACCCGAACCCCUAACCUACCCCAGCCCUGUCGCCCACACCAAGCCCGGAGUUAUGGCUAUGAGUGGACUCUAGCCGUCGUUCAGCCAGGCGUAGAGUGUUGCUGCCAGCGCUGCUGAUGGCACGCCGCUGAGGUCUUGCGGGCGUCCAUACUACUAUUGCGUGCUCGCUGGCUCGUGAGAUCCGUCAGCGGAUUCCGCAUGUAGCCAAUCUUCGUUGGUCCACGUCAAAUUCGGAAAGAAAUCAAGACCCAGAACCCUCCCGUGUGUGUAAGGGGGGAGGGGGGCGGUGUCGGUGGGGACGUGGGAAACCAAGGAAAGCUGCCGAUCGGUUCUACCUCGUAAGCCUCACGGGUUAAACUCCCUAUCGUCCCACCGGCCCCGUCCCGAUUCCGCGUUUAGGCCGUCCAUGCUUGGUGUCGGUCGCUGGUCACAGCUUUGCAAGGCCGGCCGACAUGAAGCGCCGAUUAGCCGCGGGUCCGUCGUUUAUGGGUUACGUCAAGGAUUCUUGGAGCUAUGCGAACUGAGGUGGACCCGGCGAUUGUCAGACAGGCUGACUGAAUUGGUUGAAGGCCCGUCGCAGUCGCGCGAAAGUUUCGGGAAGUUCGCCAUCUUACUGGCGAAUGACAACGCUUCCGGCGCCAGGUAUUAGUCGUGUCCCUUGUUGUCGUCACGAUUGGACCCCACCCGCUUCCCGCGGAUUUAGCCCGAUCCCGCUUGCAUGGGGUGGUCUGACUGCAUGGAUCGCGGACUCCAUAAAUAGCCGAUGUGCCAGACUUGGCGGUCCUGAAUCACAGCUUGAGAAUACAUAAACUCAAUCGCCAAGCAACAAAGCUACAGCCCUAUAUCGGCAGUUGCAACAUCCCAGCGCGGGGGUUCGACUGCGUAAUUACGAGCGUCGUUGAGCCGAGUUUGCAACCAUGAUGCUGUCAGGCCGCACCUGCAAUUGCGCCUUCAGUGCUCGUCGAACUAGCCUCCAACGCGGAGCGCUCGCUUUCCAAUCGGCGCGGCUGGUACCUCAACGGCCGCCGGCCACUUGCCGUCGCGCAUCGUUUGUGCCCAGCGCCAUCUUCAUGCCAACAGAGGUGGAACAGAAGACCGGCACCACUUCCAACAACGGCAAUGUCACACCCUUGGAGGCUCGGACUGUCCCUUCCGAGCGCGCGCUGACCAUCUGGCGCUCCGCCGACGCCGUCUGCUUCGACGUAGACUGUGAGUGGGGUCCUAAUACUUGUGGGCAUGUAGGUCCUUAGGCUCUCCCGCCGUGGUAUGCGGCUUGCCUAAGCUGUGGCCGCGCGGCCUUGAAACGUCAUCCCCGUCAAACUUUUCAACUCGCUUCUUUCGGUCCUUCGCAUUCUCGCACCCAUUCAGGCACCAUCACCGUCAACGACGGCCUGGACCUGCUGGCCGAGUUCAUGGGCGUCAAGGAGGAGGUGGAGGCGCUCACCAACAAGGUGGGUGCGCGCCGUCAAGGCGCCUGCUGUUCGGCCCCUCCCCUCCUCCAAUCCAUUCCCUUACCUUAUCCCUCGUGCAUGCCCUAUGCGCAAGUCAAGGUUGGCCGACUGCGCAGCAGCUGCCCAUCCCCCCCAUUCCAACCCUUCCCCCUACCAAACCCUGCUGCCUCCACAAACACACACACGCAGGCUAUGGACGGCACCAUGUCUCUGACGCGCUCUCUGGAGGAGCGCCUCAACCUGAUCAACUGCUCGCCAGACGACAUCCGCCGCUUCAUCAAGGCCUACCCGCCCCAGUCCCGCCUGGCGCCCGUGAGUUGCCGCGUGCGGCGCGCGUGUGUACGCUUGUGUGGCACGCGUGUGUGUGGGCAUGCUCUGCUCGCGGCCUCGCGCGGCCGUGCGUGCCGCCUUCGAGUUGUGGCGCUCCCGACCUCCCUACCCCACCCCCUCAUGUGUGCCCCUAUCAAUCCGCAACCCCAAACACCCCAAUCCUCCUAUCACAGGGCAUCAAGGAGCUGAUCAACGCGCUCCAGAAGCGCGGCGUGGCGGUGUACCUCAUCAGCGGCGGCUUCCGCGAGCUGCUGCUGCCCAUCGCGGCGCACCUGGGCAUCCCCAAGGACCGCGUCUUCGCCAACCGCAUGCACUGGCAGUGGGACGAUGAGACCGGCAUGCCCACCAAGCUGGUGAGGCCCGUGACGAACCCCGUGAUGGGAGAGGCCGCUAGCUUUGUGUUCGUGUGUGGGGGGGGGGGAGAAAAGAAAGAGGGAAGGGGGUUAGGGAGCAUUGGGGAGCUGCGCUGAUGGGACUGGAGAUCGUCCUGAGCCUUUGGACUGGUAGACACACGCGCUGGGGACUUUGACGUUCCCGCUCCUGGUCUCGCUCGCAGCCGUAGAUCUGCACAUUUGGGCCCCGCGCAGUCCCUUGCGCGCGCUGACACAUUGUGGGCAGGGCAGUGACGCCAAACAGCAGCAGGCACGCGAGCGUGUGGGGUUGGGGUUGGUGAGCGGCUGGCUGGGGUUCAGGGAUAGAUGGAUCCGGGCUUGUUGUGCGGUAUCCAUGACUGCUGUUCCAAUGACUUUCAGAGUAUGUCUCGCGGAACGCGGAGUGUGCAUGCCUCGCUUGCUAACCAGACACUGCUGCACAUUCGCGCUUUCCUCGCUCUCGCCAACUCAGGUCGGCUUUGACACGUCCGAGCCCACGGCCCGCAACCAGGGCAAGCCCGAGGUGAGGAAUGGAGACCAUCGAGAGCGCGACCACCUGCAUGCAGCACCACCUGUACUGCUAUGCCCCAGGCACCGUGUGUCCUGUCCUCCUAGUCCUCCUGUCCACUCCGCCCAACCCCUCCCACCCCCACUUACGCACAUAGGCCAUCGCGCGCAUCCGCGAGAACAACCCCUACAACACCGUGGUCAUGAUCGGCGACGGCAUCACCGACCUGGAGGCGGUGCAGACCAGCGGCGGCGCCGACUUGUUCAUCGGCAGCGGCGUGGUGGUGGAGCGCGAGGCCGUGGUGGCGGAAGCCGAGUGGUAAGCCCGGGGCCGCGGCGUAGGAAGAUUCAAGGUUGUGAGGCAUUUGAGGGGUGUGGGGUAUGCAGCCACGACCGCCACCCGCCCUUCCUCAUUCCCCUCUCACCUUUUCCCGCCGCCUGCAUCCCAAAACACACGUGCUCGCCCCCUCUCCCUCGCACAGGUAUGUGUACGACUACAAGGCACUUGUGUCGGCCCUGUCCCGUUACAAGGUGGCCGUGCUGGGCAGCGGCGCCUGGGCGUGUGCGGCGGUGCGCAUGAUCGCGCAGAACACCAGCCAGGUGCGUGCGGCAGUGGUGUGCAGCUGGGCGGGGCUAGGCGCUGAUGCACUGCUGUGAAGGAUUACGAGUCCCUGGGCUUCGACCCAAAUCAACCCAAAUCAACCCGAACCGAUACCCAACCCGCUUGCUCGCUCCCCCCACAGGACGACCCCGAGGACGAGUUUGACGACGACGUCCGCAUGUGGGUGCACCAGGUAAGAGCGCCUCCCGCGUGCCACCAUGCUGCCCCCGUCGUGUUGCGCUUGGAUCCUCAUUUUCGCACCUCCCCUCUCCUCACGCCUCUCCUUACCCAAACCCAUGCUCUGCCACCCACCCGACCCACAUCACCUCCCCUGCAGGGCGGCGAGCUGGUCGACACGAUCAACAGCACGCACGAGAACCCGGCCUACUUCCCCGGCAUCCCCCUGGGCCCCAACGUCAUCGCCACCGGCAACCUGGCGGAGGCAGUGGCGGACGCCGACCUGCUGGUGUUCUGCGCGCCGCACCAGUACAUCCGCGGCAUUUGCAAGCAGCUCAUGGGCAAGGUGCGCCCCCGUGCCAUUGUGCUUGAUUGCUUGUGCUUUGCAUGGGUUCGUGAUUUGCCUGCGAGGCAAAACCAUACGUGACAAGGCGCCUGAACCGAAUUAGCACCAGCCUCGUCAACAACCAAUUAACCAUGCCCGUCCGCCUACCUGUCCCCCCACUUAACUCCCAGGUCAAGCCGGGCGCCGCCGCCAUCAGCCUGACCAAGGGCAUGCGCGUCACGCCCGAGGGCCCCGAGCUCAUCAGCCAGAUCGUGCGCCGCACCCUGGGCGUGGACUGCUCCGUGCUCAUGGGCGGUAACAUCGCCGAGGUGGGUCUUUUGAGGGCGGGGCGGGUCAGGGCGGAUAAGGAAGUCGGAGCCGGCAAUCCUUGGGCGGCGACGACUGUCCUGUUGUCUGCAACGCUUCAUUACAAACUGUAUCGCGUGGAACAGAACCCUGAUGACCCCGCAAGGCCAGGCCUCUUCCUCCACCACCACUCUCUACCACUAACCCUACCCUGCCCUUCCCCUCCCCCACCUCCCCCACCUCUCUCCACAGGACGUGGGUCGCGAGCAGCUGUCUGAGGCCGUGAUCGGCUACUACAACCUGGAGCACGCCCAGCGCUUCAAGAAGCUCUUCCGGCGCCCCUACUUCCGCGUGACGCUGCUGCCCGACCCGGUGAGUAAGGAGCCUACGGUUGCCGGCAACGGCUGUCGGGUAGUUGCCACGCGGGAAUCUUACAUAGGCAGAGGCAUGCCUGCUUGCCUGAGGUUGUGCGUGGACGGGUGAUGCGAGAACGCGUGCAUGCUGACAUGCAUGCCCUCGUUAGGUCAUUCACAUACGCAGCUCACUGGCAACACGUGCAGGUGGGUGCUGAGCUGUGCGGUACGCUCAAGAACAUCGUGGCCCUGGGUGUGGGCAUGGUGGACGGCAUGGGGAUGGGACCCAACUCCAAGGCCGCAGUUAUCCGCCAGGUGAGCUUGACAAUUGCAGACCUUUGGGUUUUCAAAUCACAGGUGCACAUGUCCGGGUUCUACUACAUGGUAGGAGUGAGGUCUGGCACCGUGACCGUACAUCCCAAUCCACUUCUCAAACCUCCCCUCCCGGGGCCCCCCUCCCCUCAGGGCCUGCUUGAGAUGCGUGACUUCUGCCAGGCCCUGUACCCCUCCGUCCGCGACGACACCUUCCUCGAGUGCUGCGGCGUGGGCGACCUGGUCGCCACCUGCAUCGGCGGCCGUCACCGCCGCGUGGCCGAGGCCUGGACGCGCUCCGCAAUUGAGAGCGCCGUGGCCGGCGAGGGCAACGGUGCCGGCCGCAGCUGGGCUGAGCUGGAGAAGGAGCUGCUGCAGGGCCAGAAGCUGCAGGGCGUGCUGACCAGCAACGAGGUGCAGCAGAUCCUGAGGGUAAGAGAAACAUCUGUGUGUGUGUGAUGGUGGUGAUUUGCGAUAUGCUUGCGCUGGUCUUGGUACGGGGCGCAUUGACAGUUCUGCGGCAGCUGGCAUACGGUAUUUUCUUGUGGCACCCGGCCUUGACCGCCACACGCACAACCCUUUCCACUCUCCCCACAGACCCGCGGCUGGGAGAGCAAGUACCCGCUGUUCACCACCAUCAACCGCAUCGUCAACGGCCACCUGCCGCCGCACCUGGUGGUCGACUACCUGGUGGGUGUGAGGGGCGGUGGCGGAGCGGGGGGUGGGAGGAGGGGUUGGGAGUCACACGCACGAACCCAACCCUAGGGAGGGAGCCCGUCCGUCCUGCAACGCGCCGUGUCUUGCGCCUCAAACCGUAAUCACCCGCGACCGCUGACAAACACACACACACACACACACACACACACACACACACACACACACACACACACACACACACACACACACACACACCGCCAACCUCCGCUCGCGCCUUCAGGAGGGCGCCAAGGCCGAUAUCGCCGUUGACGUCGAGGAGGACAUUGUGCCCCUGCCGCGCCAGCCCGCCUCCGCCAUGGCCCGCCUAUUCGGCCAGCUGGUCGGCGGAAUCAUGCAGCAGGGAGGAGCAGCCGCCGGCGCCGCCGCCAGCGCCGCCGCAGGCGCCGCCGCGGGCGCUGCCAGCAACAGCGUGUAAAGACGUUCCUUGUGGUAAUGGGUGCUGUGAUAUCGCGCGCGAGGGAGGGGCGCCGAGCUGCGUACGUAAGCGUCUGUCUUCGCAAUGUUUGUACGUGCAGAGCUGGGCGGGGUGCUUGGACGGAGUUGGCAUGGCAUGGCGUGGGCCGGUGUACACAACCGUUAUUUGUUUUUGUAUUUGUGGUCAAUCGGCUCUGGCGCGAGCAGCACUAAGUGAACAGAUGUAUUGGCAUGCUGUGCCACCUAUCUAUCUGUGAGCU
This 14745-nucleotide long non-coding RNA is filed under the name Chlamydomonas reinhardtii. Its description in RNAcentral is "long non-coding RNA (CREI_LNC000075)". The record is from RNAcentral. Lineage: Eukaryota; Viridiplantae; Chlorophyta; Chlorophyceae; Chlamydomonadales; Chlamydomonadaceae.